Molecule: long non-coding RNA, 7470 nt
Organism: Vespa velutina
Lineage: Eukaryota; Metazoa; Arthropoda; Insecta; Hymenoptera; Vespidae
Exons: 8
Source: RefSeq, a predicted model, not a curated record
AUAUAAUGUCAAUCGUUACAUUCGAAAUAUAUCUUGAAUUGGAUCUCUUUCUUUACUUUUUGUUCCGUCAUAACGCAGAUACAAUUUGGGAUAGCUGUAAUAUGUGGACAAUAUAUUUAAGGAAAAUAUAUAGAUCGUUUGUCAAUAAUAUUUUUAUAAAGACUUCUAACGUCCGUCAUUGUAAAAACGUAUUAGUGAAUAUGAAAAAAUUAGCAAAUUAUUUAAAAUAAUUGUUGAUACAGAACUAUUAUAAAAGCCUAUUAUAAAAGAUUAUAUAUUAUUGUAUAAUAUUCUAUUAUUACAAGUAAAACGCAUCACAAAAGAGUACAACUCACUGUCAGCAUUAACUGGAAAGAAUACGAAAGCAAACUCUAUUCACUUGCGCCCUCUGUGUAAAAAACAUUCUAAAAAGAGAGAAAGAUACAGCGCCUCGGUAGCGCAGUAGGCAGCGCGAGAACAUUUUUUAUUUCGUCAUCAGCGUUUUCAAUUCUUGCAGAAGAAGAUGGACAAAAGUUACAUCAAUGUCAUCUAUGAUUUAAUAGAGAAUGAAAAUCGAUGAAAAUAACUUCGUCGUAGCGGAAAAAAAUUAACAUAGCGUUUCUUCCGCAAGAAAGACGACGCAGAGAAAGGGAUAGUAGAUAUGGAGUGGAUAUUUCGAAGGAAAUAGAGAAAGGUAUGUACGCGAUUCAAGGAAAAAAGUCUGCAUUGGAGAAAGGACGGCUUUAUCUGUUCACUGCGGAGCUGUUACGUAUAAAUGCAGAAACGCGGCCCGGUUCGCGGAGGUUGAGCGAUCGUUGGUGGGAGCGAGCUUGAUUCCGCGUUGAUUCAGACCGUAUUCAGUGCAUCGAGCUCGCGAUGAAAAGGCGUUCCGUUUUCUGAAUAUAUUCCAAUUAAAAAGUCGGAGCUUCGUUGCCCUCACCUCUGCCCGCUCACCUCUUGCUUUUGCCUCAUCCCCCGGAAGAGAGAAAGAGAGAGAGAGUGAGAGGAGAGAGAAGAGAGAGAGAGCAAGCGCCGGCUCAAGCGGCAACUCGAGCGCUCUUCUUCUUCUUUUUCUUCUACGCCCCACUAUCUCGUACCACCGACCCCCUUUUACUUCUGCCUUUUGCCUUCCGCCCCUACCGACGACGCGAUCCCUUUUUCCUAUCGCUCGACCAACCAGACAUUUUCUCCCUCUCGCUGUUUCUCCAGCAAUUACUUCUCCGCUUUUUCUUCUUUCCUCUUUUUCACUUUUCUAUCUUUCUUCCCUUCUAAAAAACUCUUUCUACCAUUUUUUCUUCCUCGAUCCUUCCUAAUAUACCUUACUCAAUUUCAUCCCCAUAUUUUUGUCCGAAUAAUUUUCAUUAUUUUCAAUAAUUGUUUCAUAUUUAGGAAAAUGUAGAUAAUACGCAUUUAAAAGAUAUCCUAGUCGAUAAUCUUUGCCUAACAAAGUUUAUCUCUAAAUUUGAAUUAUAUUUUAUGGAAUUGUUUUUAACAUGGGAAACGGCGAAUCAAGCUGUUGUUUCAUUCUCCGUGAAAAACAAAUGUAAAUUCGAUGCGUAUGUUCGCGCACGUACGCCUUGGAACCCCCAUGAAGUAUUUAACGAUGCCACAGAAUGAAGGCACAUCGUAAGGCUAAGGAGAGGAGAAGACGAAGAGGAAUACGAAGCGCGUGCCCAAGUGCCAACAGGAUUUACGCACGUAUGCACGCGCGUGUGCAAGCGUGUAUGCAAGCGCGUGUAUAGAUACGGAUAUUCGCUUGAGUACAAUGAGCACGUGGCCAGGCACACGCAAUACCACUUGUCUCGCUCAACUUCGAUUCCUAUCCCUUCAUGGAUGAUCCUCGGGUCAACUUUUUGUCCUUGAUCUCGAGACUGCACCACUAAACAAAGUUAAGAGAGAGAGAGAGAGAGAGAGAGAGAGAGAGAGAGAGAGAGAGAGAGAAAGGGUCACCCUGUAACAAAUACGACUUCGCUAUAAAUAUCAUAAGUUUGUUAGCAAAGCUAAUGCGAGAAUUUUCGUUGAAUAUACUAAUCGCAAUUUUAAUCCAAUUUAUUAACUAAGAUAAAAAUAGGAUUCAUUUUUGUAUCAAAUGAUAUUUAAUUAUAAAAUAUUCGUAUUACGUACCUAUAUAUAUAUAUAUAUAUAUAGGUACGUAAUACGAAUACGUGAAGCGAGCGAGAAAUAACUCAGGAAUCUAAAUUAACGCGAUUAUAUUUAGAAACGGUCUAAUGAAUUUAAAAUUGUUCGCAGAGAUAAAACGUUCUAAUUACUUAUAUUGCUGGCACGUUUUAAUUAUUUCGCUGGUUAAUGGUUAACAUUGGAAAGAACGAAGAAACGAAUGUAGUACGGUAGGUCGAAGAACAGUAACCGCCUGAACCGACUGAAUAGCGAAUGCCGUUGGAUAUCAUCGUGAAUACUGUACGAAUGAUUAUGUGAAAGUAAUUACGCGUAAGAUAUAGGAAUAUCAUUGAGAUUUCGUUUCAACUAUGCUGCAGUGAGUCCUAACAAAACGAAAGAGAAAAAGAGAAAGAUGAUUCAAGUUGAAGGAGGACAUAAGAAUUUUUCCUUCGUUCGAGCGAUUUCACGCUCGGUGAGACGAAUCUGCUUUUCCUAUAAUUCGAGGACUUGGGAUGUAAGAAAAGAAAAAGAAAUAGAAAGAGAUAGAAAGAGUACCACGGUUUAUUCCAUUCCGAAUAAACCCGAAAAGAGUAUCUUCCUUUCUACGAUUCCUUUUCGCUUAUCUUACGUUGGAUAUACGAAACUUCGUGUAAUGGAAUUGACAUGUAUAUGUUUUUUUUUUUUUUUUAUCGUUUUGUUUCUUUUUUCUUUUUACAUUUCAAUAAGAAAGAGAUCAUUAACAAUACCUUUAUCUAGCAGCUAUCCGUGUCGCCUCAUAAAGUAAUCAUCAUUCGUAUGAAGAUACCGUUCUUUCUCCUCUUCUAUUUCGCCCUAAUUAACGUUAUCGAUCCAACGCGAAACAUCGACGAAAGACAAUUGCUUGUAUCGUCGAUUGUAUAUUCUCUCGUCGAUUCCAUUCAAUUAAAUUCGUAAGCCAAUUCGUGUUCUAAGUGGCCUUGAUUCUUAACUUGUAUCGGUUUCAACCAAUUACUUCGAACGGGGCAGGAGUUGCGUGCAUUUUGGACACGUGCCCAUUGUUGUUUAUGAAUUAGCUUACUAUGCUAACUCAUUUUCGAAUGAAAGAAGAUGGUCAAGAAGAUAGAAUAUAAAUACAUCCUAAUGAUACACUCUUAAUAAUAUAUUUCAACUUUUAAAUAAAUUGUAUUCACAUGAAACGAAGGUAUACAUAUUAGGGGGUUAAUAAUUGAAUGGAUUUAAUAUCUUGGAAUUAUAUACAAUAUAUAAUAACGAUAUACAAGCAUUUUUUAUAUGUUGUUUCAUAAUAAUUUAUUUAUCUACAAGAACUCCUCAUCUUACACAAAAUUGUCAACUAGUGAAAGAUGUUAAGUUACAUAUCGAUAGUGAACGUCGAUUAAAUUACUAAAUUAAAGUUGCCGUUAAAACACGAAAAAUACGUACAUAGUCGAGCAUUGCACAUUCGGUAAUAAUUAUCCCUUUUCAUUUUUCAAAGUGAUCAUUUCAAGUAAUACAAUGAAAUAGCUAAGUAUUAAUAUCACUAUAUUCUUUAAUUGUUAUUCAUCGAUCGAGCGUUCAUUUCAGAGAAUUAUUGGAUCCUCAUCUUUGAGUAAUAAUUUAUCGUAAUUACCACAGUAGUUACAAAUUACUGUACUACUGUAGAAAGAUUUUCAUCGUUAAAAAUGAAAUCUAUUAUCGGCAAAAACAUUCAUUUAUCUAUCAAGAUAAGGACCAUUCGAAACCACCAAGAAACAAUUAAAUAUACGAUCGCCGAUCUAUUUAAUAAUUACAUAUUUACAUUGUCGAUCAACUGUCCCGUUUGCAACGAAAGCAAAUACGAGGAAAGGCUUUUAAACAAAAAACUUCACCAACUGGAAAUUCAAGAACAUUUAUCGUUCUUAAUCGAAUAUUCCUGAUAACAUACAAAAAUAUUGAAAUACUGUACGCAUACGCAUGAAAUAAAAUUUCAUGUGUAAAAAAAAAAAAGAAGAGAGUUUUCUUUUUAGAGCAAUAAUAUUCGUAAAGCAACAAUUAAAGCCAUACCAUUUAUCAGUUGCAGCGAUGAAGAUAAUAAAAUAUAUCGAGUGGAACCUUUAACUUCGUUUUUGCUUCCAAAAGAAUCUUAUAUGUUGCUCGUAGAAGUGUUCGAGUUAGGCAGGAGCUAUUUGGUGAUUCGAAACGAUAUUUAAAUUAUGAUAUCGUACGCGUUAGAGUGGACAGCCGUGUACGUAUGUGACGUUUCGAAAAAGUGCAGCCGCCGUCGAAAGGAACGCUGCCGUGGACGCCGUGGAUGGAGCUGGUGGUGGUGGUGGCGGAGGUGCAUGAUUUGUCACUUGUGUUUGUGCAUUGUAAGACGGACAAUAGGCGUCUAUGCUACCAUGAUGAAGACCGACGCCUCGUACAAGGAGCUCUUUUUCUACCGUGGCUUGAUGACGAAGUUGUUCGAGUCGUAACUGAUUCUGUCUCUUCCACUUCGUUCUGGAACAAGUAAGCAAGUUGAGCAUGUGUAAAAGCCGUUCGUCUUCUUCGUGGCUUUCUUCCACUAGGUGGACCACUAGGAGUUCCGCAAGAUUUACCAGACGUUGUCGGACCUGGUGGAGGCGAGAGAACAGGUGGAGGACUUCCUAGUCGAGUGCAAGGACUACUGCCAGGAUCGAUUGUAUCUUCGGAAUCCGAAUGAACGGCCGAAUCAUCUUCGGAAUCUUCUAUUCGACUCAACGGUGAAAGCCUAUUAUCGAGACAAUGCCGAACGAAUCGAAAUCGAUUUAUUAUCCUCCCUAGUUCAUGGUAAACGAUCUCAAUCAAGAUCCUGUGGUGUCGUACAACGAUUGACCAAUAAAACUGGGAAACGCUGUGGGACAGAGUAACCGACGGCAAAAAUUUGUGGACUAACGAAUCCUAACGAGUCACUUCGCACCUAAAACCAUCUGUAGGAUCACCCUUAACAGGGUGACACCCUGUAGUGUGGAUCGUCGUUCCUCGGACCCCGUAUAGUGGAUAAAAAUAAUAGAAGAGUCCUUGGGGGGUAUCUUUUAACGAGAAUCCCGACGGUAGUGCACGCGACCGACUCGUGUUUCGUAUAUAAAACACUAAUAAUCUAUCAAAAUUCAUUUCUUUUUUAUUGAUUGUUAAAUCUUUAAUAUGUCUUCGAUCAUUCGAGAAAUCAAUAUCACCUACCUUGAACUCUAUCCGCCAGAACGUCGCCCAAAAGAUCUCUUAUCAAAAAGGACUUGUGUUCUUGCAUCAUCGUCACUGAUGAAUCGAUGCAAACCAGAUUAAAAAAUUAAACAAGAUCACUCGAGUAUAAGAAUUGUUUACUUUCCGUAUCCGCGUUAUCACCGAUUAGUCUAAGGAGCCGACUUUCAUGCUAUCGUACGGACGCUCGGCAUCGUUCUGCGUCGACCGCGACCACGGGGAUGACCGGAUGUAUCUGGCCGACGUUCCACUGUCGUCAUCGUCCUAGACAUUCUUGUCGUCUUCGUCGUCGUAGCCACGUUGUGGGUGAAGGCGAGUCGUUGUAGGAGGCGGAGGCUUACUCGAUGAAGUUUGGAUACGAGGGUGAGGGGUACUACAGCAUUCAUCGUCUCUCCAACUAUAUCUUUUCCAAGCCCUGCCACCCCUUCGAAUUAAUCCGCCCGUUUAUUUUGAACGGGCAGCCUAAUGCCCGCGCGAUUUCGCAGCCAUUUUGGGGGUGGAGGCGCCUUCCGCGAGCCCCGCGCAUUCCCUUAAAAACAGUUGGCAUGGCUCUUGCCAUUGGUCGGCGGUACGGACGAGUGAGGGACGAAAAGUGUCUUCCGAGAGAUGCUAUUGGGCGGAUAAACGCACCCUGCGCGAGAGAAGGUUGGUUCUCUCCCUCCAUCAUCUUUCAUCCCUUCUAUACCUAUCGUUUCGCUUUCCUUUUGUAUGCAUUCAGACGAGAACACAAGGUAUAUAAUAGGGCUCGCACGAGUUGGUAAGGUAAGGACUACCAAACGUAGAGCCGCGUCGACUAACGGAGGUGGGCUGAUAGGGGAGGAAGUAAUUGGCAAGCGAUUACCGUAGAAGGAGAGGAGCAAAUUGGAUGUGAAACGUUUCUGUAGCUUUAUUAUGAUGCAGUCUUGUUCUAUCUGAAUUUCAAACUUAUCUCCUGACUUUCUCUCUUUUUACCGUCGCCCAACUCUUUCAAAUUUAAAGAGAUAGUCACUACGCGAGGAAGAAAUCAGUAAGAUCGUCGUCAAGCUUCUAUCCAUUAGCACUUUUUAUAAAACAUAAUUCAAUCUUAAUGAAUUUUGUUUUUUUAUUAUUAUUAUUUUCUGCAAACAAGACUGACUAAAAUCGAAAAAAAUUGUUCCUCAUAAUCGAAUUUAAUUAGAUUAAUGAUCUUUAACUUUGUUAUAGAUAUUUCAUCUAUGUCAAUUCAUAAUUUAAGAAGAAGAGAUUAUCACCAAUCACCAAAUAAAAAUGUUAUAAAAUUUUUAUUAUACACGUAACCGUAUCGAUUACUCGAGUCGAAUAUUUAAUGUUUUCUGUUUUAGAAUAACUCAAAUUGCGAUGAUAUCGUUACGAAGUUGAUUUAUUUGCAUAGACCUCGAGAAAGGAUAACGUUAGGAGUGCCAAAUGUAGGAGAGAUAGAUGUGCACCAUAUUUACAUAAAUACAUCCCUCGCUGUUUGGAAUUUCCUACCUUUCGUAUCUCCCCUUGCCCUUUGGAGGGGUAGUUUGUGAGCGUAAAUAUGCAUGAUGCAUGCACUCACAAAUCCUCAAACCGCCUACUUUCUCAGCCGCCUUCAUGCUUCCACUAUUUCUCUCGCGGCCCUGGGCUCAACAGCACCCUGUUAGUCUAUUCACUGCACUACACUACUUAACUUUUGUAAGCACCUACACAUAGUACAUAUUUACAUAGAUGUACUCUCGUAUAUGUAUUUUAUAUUUUACGAAAUCGCAUUCAGUAGAAACGAUAAAAUACGAAAAUAUAACGAUAAAAUCAACAACGCGUAUAUACAUAGAUAGAUAUAUCUCAAAUUUAUUGAUUAUUUAACGUCGUAUUGACUUACUCUACUUGUCUGUUACCAUCACACAUAUACGUUUUUAUUAAAAAUUCACACUUACAAAAGAUCUUCCUUUCUGAAGUCAAAUCUUCCUCAAAAAUAUUUGUUUCAAUUAUUCUUUAUAUGACAUUGUUAUACCAUAUCGACACCUGUAAAGUCCUCUUUAUGAUGUCGAGCAGUGAACGCGAUGGAUCGGAACGCCUUUCUGAAUUCAUUAGGAUUAACAUAUGCAGGAGAUUAAUUCAAGGGGCGGCAAAGCGGCUAGGCGUCUUCUUACCGGGCGCAGAAAAGGGCGCCGAGAACACUGAAAAGAGGGGAAUAAAUGAAUGAUAGAAGACGGAACGAGAGUUGAGUAACGUCAAAAAUAAAAA